UACGUAGGGCGCAAGCGUUGUCCGGAAUUAUUGGGCGUAAAGAGCUUGUAGGCGGUUUGUCGCGUCUGCUGUGAAAACCCGGGGCUCAACCCCGGGCCUGCGGUGGGUACGGGCAGACUAGAGUGUGGUAGGGGAGACUGGAAUUCCUGGUGUAGCGGUGAAAUGCGCAGAUAUCAGGAGGAACACCGAUGGCGAAGGCAGGUCUCUGGGCAUUAACUGACGCUGAGAAGCGAAAGCAUGGGGAGCGAACAGG
RNAcentral lists this ribosomal RNA (253 nucleotides) under uncultured bacterium. RNAcentral describes it as "partial 16S ribosomal RNA". It matches the Rfam family "Bacterial small subunit ribosomal RNA", at positions 524 to 776 of the family's 1533-position model. The record is from RNAcentral.